GCAGGGUUGGCCACCUUGAGAAGCUGCGAAGAUGGCGGAGUAAGGCGUGCCGCUGCAAACUGGCCUCUGGGCCGGGGGCGAGCAGCCCCCGGGAGGCCGAGUGCAUCUGUUGGACCGUGCGAGGAGAAGAAAAAAAAUAUCGGCCAGAGGAGAGGAACUAACCGAACAUUCUUCCUCCCUACCUUAUAGAGGGGAGUGGUCAUCUACACUAAAGCAAAGUGUUAGGCGCGUCCGUGCGAAGAGACCACCAAACAGGCUUUGUGUUCCUUAUCACAGGAAGAAAAUUUUCCUUGACCUUUAGGUGCUUUUAUAUUCAUCUCAAAAACAAAAUUCUGAACUCAGGACUUGGCAAGAGGUGCAAGCGAAGAUGCAGUGCUACCUUAUUUUUCAUUUUUAUUUUUUGGAGACAGAGUCUCACUCUGUUGCCCAAGCUGAGUGCAGUGGUGCAAUCAUGGCUCACUGCAACCUCAACCUCCAGGGCUCAAGCGAUCCUCCUGCUUCAGCCUCCUCCAAAGUAGCUGGGACCACAAGAGGGCACCACCACGCCCUGCUAAUUUUUUAUUUUUUGUAGAGUGGGGUCUUGAUAUGUUGCCCAGGCUGGUCUCCAAUUCCUGGGCUCAAGGGAUCCCCCUGCCUCAGCCUCCCCAAAGUGCUGGGAUUACAGGUGUGAGCUGCUGCACCUGGCUCAGUGCUACUUUAAAACACAAAUGUGGCCGGGCCCAGUGGCUCACGCCUGUAAUCCCAAUACUUUGGGAGGCUGAGGCGAGUGGAUCACUUGAGGUGAGGAGUUUGAACCCAGCCUGGCCAACAUGGUGAAACCCCGUUUCUACUAAAAAUACAAAAAUUAGCCGGGUGUGGUGGUACAUGCCUGUAAUGCCAGCUACUUGGGAGGCUAAGGCAGGAGAAUCACUUGAACCCAGGGGGCAGAGGUUGCAAUGAGCUGAGAUCACAGCACUGCACUCCAGCCUGGGCAGCAGAGUAAGACUUUGUCUCAAAGAAAGAACAAAAACAAACAAAAAAAAAUGUUUUAUAUGCAAAAGUUUUUUGUAUCAUGCUUGUAUAAAUCCAGCUUUUUUUGUAUCAUGCUUGUAUUUUUUUUUUCUAGCUGUUAUUGCUUUUCUGAUAAUAGUACUGAAUUUGGUGUUAUGGUUGGUCAUUUUCUUCUAGAUAAUAUGUAAUCCAAAAUAUUCUUUUUUUUGUUUGUUUGUUUGUUUGUUUGAGACGGAGUCACGUUCUGUUGCCUGGGCUGGAGUGCACUGAUGCAAUCUUGGCUCACUGAAAUCUCUGCCUCCCAGGUUCAAGCGAUUCUCCUGCCUCGGCUUCCUGAGUAGCUGGGACUACAGGCACCCGUUACCACGCCCAGCUAAUUUUUGUAUCUUUAGUAGAGACGGGGUUUCACCAUGUUGGCCAGGCUGGUCUUGAACUCCGGACCUGGUGAUCCACCCACUUCGGCUUCCCGAAGUGCUGGGUUUACAGAUGUGUCUCUAUGUUGUCUCCUAGAGUGGGUAGUCCUGCUUCUUUUACCCAGUUACUUUCCCGUUUUUGAAAUGUGGCUAUCACUUCUCUACACAUUACCUCCAUGAUUUGGAAUGGAAAAGGCCACUUUUCUUUUUGUUCUGCCUCUCAAAUUCAACACAGAGGAGCUCCUAGGAUUCCAGUUAUCCUGCUAACAUCUCCAGGAAGAAAGAAGCAACUCACAUGGGUCUUUUGCUGUUUGCUUAAUUAUAAAGACAUCAUUUUGCAAGCAGAAGGCUGAGUUUCAUUUGAAACAGGUGCUUAGGUGGUGGUAUUUGUGAAUACUUUUCAUUCCAAGCAAGAAGACUAAAGAAGUAGCAAGUAUGAAUGACUUCAGGGUUUAAAAAAAAUGUCUUCCAGUUUCAGCCACUACCAUGAUAAGCACAGUUGAGACUGCAGCAGUAAAUUCCAAAUAUGUGUUUCUAAUUUGACGUGAAAGAUACUAAAAAUUUAUAUUUGUAUAUUUAAAUCCUGGCUCAUCCUGUGACAUAGAUUUACUGAAUAGGAACAAAGGCCCAAUUUUAAACAAAAACCUAGGCCGGGUGUGGUGGCUCACACCUGUAAUCCCAACACUUUGGGAGGCCAAGGCAGGCAAAUCACCUGAGGUUGGGAGUUUGAGACCAGCCUGACCAACAUGGAGAAACCCCAUCUCUACUAAAAAUAGAAAAUUAGCCAGGUGUGGUGGUAGAUACGUGUAAUCCCAGCUACUCGUGAGGCUGAGGCAGGAGAAUUGCUUGAAUCCGGGAGGCGGAGGUUGCAGUGAACUGAGAUUGCACCACUGCACUCCAGCCUGGGCGACAGAGUGAGACUCCGUCUCAGAAAAAUAAAAAACAACUUUGGACAUAGAGGAGUUGGGGGCAGAGGGGGGAGGAUGAGAGAAUUUUCCAUGUAACUCCUUUUCCUUAAGAAAAAGAAGCAAAAAUCCCUCAUGCAGUGCCAUCUGACUUUAUGGUGUUUCACAUUAUAUAGUUACUUUUUUUAAUAAACGCAUAAGAUUAACUCUUCCUGCAACCCAAGGUGGAUACUUGGAUGUUUGAUUUUUAUUUAUUUAUUUAUUUAUUUUUUGAGGCAGUCUCUCUCUGUUGCCCAGGCUGGAGUGAUGCGUGAUUUCUGCUCACUGCAGUCUCUCCCACCCGGGUUCAAGCGAUUCUCCUGCCUCAGCCUCCCAAGUAGCUAGGAUUACAGGCGCGCACCACCACGCUCAGCCUGAUUUCUAGGCUGAAAAGGCUGGGACUCAGGUACUUUCCCCAGUUGGGACUGAACUUUCUCAUCAGAGAAUGGGCCUCAGAAGCAAUGUUCCCAAACUUGUGGUUGGGUCAUCGUGGAAAAGAAACCUCAAAUAAGAAAAAUAAUUACAAUAAGAAAUGGAUUUUCUUUUUUCCCACAACAGUUAUACAUUAUAAAGAACAGACUGUCGUAGAAAACUGUCUUUGCUUCCAAAUCAGCAGAGGACCAUUGUAUGUAUUGUCAGGUCUUUAUAUAAGAGUGAAACCUUUAUUUAUGCUUCUUGUGAGUAGAGAAUAAAUUUUAAAACUAAUUAGAUGAAAUUAA
Molecule: long non-coding RNA, 3066 nt
Filed under: Homo sapiens (human)
Lineage: Eukaryota; Metazoa; Chordata; Mammalia; Primates; Hominidae
Description: OIP5 antisense RNA 1
Source: RNAcentral